Non-coding RNA from Arachis ipaensis, 698 nucleotides. The record is from RefSeq and is a predicted model, not a curated record. Lineage: Eukaryota; Viridiplantae; Streptophyta; Magnoliopsida; Fabales; Fabaceae.
AUCCUUCCUGCCGCCACUGGAAGCACGAACAAAGAAGAGUCGCCUUCGUCGGAACCACCGCCGCCACUGCCAGCUUCCACCUCCAUCGUGGUUGACUAUGGAUGAGAGUGGAGGAAAUUACCUCUCUCUGCCGUUGAAAUCCUCCGCCGCUGCUGCUUGCGUCUUGAGCUGCUGCAUCAGCCACCGCGGCAGGUGUCGCUGUUGGAAAGAAGAGCUGCGCCUCUGUGUUCUGGCAACUGGGAGUGGUUCUAUGACUUCCGGGACCACCGCCGAAGCUCCGGGCUGAGCCUCUGCCGCCAAGAACGUCUCUGCUGCCACCGGGUCCCGCCGAUGAAAUUCGGGCUGCCGCCGUUAUUCAGAAUUUAUUAACGGAGCCGUUGCCGAGUCGUUUUGGAGUUGCGGCUGUUUCGUUUCGCUGAUCUAAGUUGGUGAGAUUGUUGAGAACGCAAGUGGAGACGAGUUGCUGGCUGCAGUUGGUUUUGGGUUGAGGCGAAGAGGACUCUGUGAGACUUUUGGACUAUGGAAUUGCGUUUUGAGGAUAUGGGCGCAGAAGUUACGAAGAGUUCAUUUAGUUGUUGUUGAUAUGCUUUGUAUUGUGUUGAUUAUGGUUUAUUGUACCCUCACCUUUAUCUUGAUAUAAUCUGUAAGAGGGAUACGGAUUGUAUUGGAUUAUGUCUGUAAUAUUAUUUAUAUAUAUA